RNAcentral lists this small nuclear RNA (20 nucleotides) under Arabidopsis thaliana (thale cress). RNAcentral describes it as "snRNA_01530". Lineage: Eukaryota; Viridiplantae; Streptophyta; Magnoliopsida; Brassicales; Brassicaceae. The record is from RNAcentral.
AAACGGUGGUGUUCAGGGAU